GUGGUUUGUCGCGUUGUUCGUGAAAUCUCACGGCUUAACCGUGAGCGUGCGAGCGAUACGGGCAGACUAGAGUACUGCAGGGGAGACUGGAAUUCCUGGUGUAGCGGUGGAAUGCGCAGAUAUCAGGAGGAACACCGGUGGCGAAGGCGGGUCUCUGGGCAGUAACUGACGCUGAGGAGCGAAAGCGUGGGGAGCGAACAGGAUUAGAAUAGCCCUGGUAGUCCACGCCGUAAACGGCGGGUACUAGGUGUGGGUUUCCUUCCUUGGGAUCCGUGCCGUAGCUAACGCAUUAAGUACCCCGCUUGGGGAGUACGACCGCAAGGCUAAAACUCAAAGGAAUCGACGGGGGCCCGCACAAGCGGCGGAGCAUGUGGAUUAAUUCGAUGCAACGCGAAGAACCUUACCUGGGUUUGACAUGCACAGAACGCGUCUAGAGAUAGGCGUUCCCUUGUGGCCUGUGUGCAGGUGGUGCAUGGCUGUCGUCAGCUCGUGUCGUGAGAUGUUGGGUUAAGUCCCGCAACGAGCGCAACCUUUGUCUCAUGUUGCCAGCGGGUAAUGCCGGGGACUCGUGAGAAACUGCCGGGGUCAACUCGGAGGAAGGUGGGGAUGACGUCAAGUCAUCAUGCCCCUUAUGUCCAGGGCUUCACACAUGCUACAAUGGCCGGUACAAAGGGCUGCGAUGCCGCAAGGUUAAGCGAAUCCUUUUAAAGCCGGUCUCAGUUCGGAUCGGGGUCUGCAACUCGACCCCGUGAAGUCGGAGUCG
Molecule: ribosomal RNA, 763 nt
Filed under: uncultured bacterium
Lineage: Bacteria
Description: bacterial SSU rRNA
Rfam family: Bacterial small subunit ribosomal RNA
Source: RNAcentral